GGGAGCAACCAGGAUAAGAUCCCCUGUUAGUCCCCCCCUUAACCGAGGAGUGCUAAGUGUUGGAGGGUUUCCGCCCUUUUAGUGCGAAAGUUACCCCAUUAAGCAUUCCCCCUGGGGAGUCCGGCGGCAAGGUGAAAAUUCAAAGGAAUGGCCGGGGGCCCGCCCAAGCGGUGGAGCAUGUGGUUUAUUUGAAAGCAACGCGAAGAACCUUACCAGUUCUGGACAUCUUUUGACAACCCUAGAGAUAGGGUUUUUCUUUCGGGAGCAGAGUGCCAGGUGGUGCAUGGUUGUCGUCAGCUCGUGUCGUGGGAUGUUGGGUAAAUUCCCCAACCGAGCCCAACCCUUGAUUUAAGUUGCCACCAUUCAGUUGGGCAUUUUAAGGUGACUGCCGGGGCCAAACCGGAGGAAGGUGGGGAGGACGUCAAAUCACCAUGCCCCUUAUGACCUGGGCUACCCCCGGGCUCCAAUGGCCGGUCCAAAGAGCUCCAAGACCCGGAGGGGGAGUUAAUUUCAUAAAACCUUUUUCAGUUCGGUUUUUAGGCUCCAAUUGGCCUCCAGGAAGCUGGAAUCCUUGGUAACCGCGGAUCACCAGGCCCGGCC
RNAcentral lists this ribosomal RNA (600 nucleotides) under Bacillus sp. (in: firmicutes). RNAcentral describes it as "bacterial SSU rRNA". It matches the Rfam family "Bacterial small subunit ribosomal RNA", at positions 764 to 1364 of the family's 1533-position model. Lineage: Bacteria; Bacillati; Bacillota; Bacilli; Caryophanales; Bacillaceae. The record is from RNAcentral.